UUUAGAGAGAGAGAGAGAGAGAGAGAGAGAACUCCUAGGCUAAGAAAAGCCAUUUUUGACCAAAAUCGGAGCCCCAAAUUCCGAAGCUCGUGAAGAGAAAAGUGUUGUACGUUGCAUUGCCUUCAGUUUGAGCCAAAAAUCAGCUAAGAAGGAGAGUGUUGACUUGUCUGCUGCAUACUUAAGGUAAUGUGCGAGAUGAGAUAUGAAGAUGGCCAUUUGGAGUAGACUUUUUGGGAGCCCUUGUGAAGAUCACAUCUGCAUAUGCAUCUAGUUUUUGUAAAAUUUUGGGGACUUGUACAUGAUACAUGUGUGGCACUUAUGUAUGAAAUUUUGAAGGCUUGUGGAAAACAAGACCAUAUGCUUGUAACUUGAGCCUGGUGACUUGUUUUGCUAUUUUAGGGUGUGCUUUUAACUCAAGUCAUGCCAUGUAUUGGGUUUAUAUUUUGUCUUGUAAUUAUGUACAAAGGAUGAUAAUAGUUUUGUGAAAAUCACUAGUUUGAGUUUUGUGUA
This is a long non-coding RNA of Lycium barbarum (goji berry), 510 nucleotides long. RefSeq lists it as uncharacterized. NCBI's taxonomy places the organism in Eukaryota, Viridiplantae, Streptophyta, Magnoliopsida, Solanales, Solanaceae. The transcript has 2 exons. The record is from RefSeq and is a predicted model, not a curated record.